Molecule: ribosomal RNA, 318 nt
Filed under: uncultured eukaryote
Lineage: Eukaryota
Description: partial large subunit ribosomal RNA
Rfam family: Eukaryotic large subunit ribosomal RNA
Source: RNAcentral
AUAUUAUUAAGCGGAGGAAAAGAAACUAACAAGGAUGCCCUCAGUAACGGCGAGUGAAGCGGGCAAAGCUCAACCUGAAAAUCGGGUUUCCAAACGGGAUCUCGAAUUGUGGGCUACAGACGGCUGGUCAGUGUGUGACCCGGGUAUAAGUGUGUUUGGAAUACGCUAUCACAGAGGGUGAUAAUCCCGUUCGUGACCCGGAGUUCGCCGCGUACGACCGCUGUUCGCAGAGUCGCGUUGUUUGGGAUUGCAGCGCUAAAUGGGUGGUAAAUUUCAUCUAAAGCUAAAUAUCGACGAGAGACCGAUAGCGCACAAGUA